CACAGGCCCCGUUCUCACCAACUAUGGGCCAGGGGGGUUAUCCAGGCCCCCACUGGAGGGAUCCAACACAGUAGUUUUAACUCACAUGCUUGUUAUAUGCUUACUAUAAUCUUAUGCAGCAAUUAAGUAUGUCACGACCUAAGGCUAUUUCAGCUUCACGCUAUGUUCUUAGACCUACAUGAGCACUAGCCUUAUCUGAUUCAUCAGGUUGUAUUUCAUGGAUCUUGAUACACAAACUGCAAAUGUCCAAUGCAAUGGAGCUACUGUAGUCACAAACACCUAGCAUACAGUUGGGAACACAAUGUCAGUUU
This is a non-coding RNA of Pelobates cultripes (western spadefoot toad), 311 nucleotides long. Lineage: Eukaryota; Metazoa; Chordata; Amphibia; Anura; Pelobatidae. The record is from the annotation of a GenBank genome assembly.